Molecule: transfer RNA, 88 nt
Filed under: Vibrio phage phiKT1024
Lineage: Duplodnaviria; Heunggongvirae; Uroviricota; Caudoviricetes
Description: tRNA-Ser
Rfam family: tRNA
About the family: Transfer RNA (tRNA) molecules are approximately 80 nucleotides in length. Their secondary structure includes four short double-helical elements and three loops (D, anti-codon, and T loops).
Source: RNAcentral
AGUGGGUUGGCAGAGUUGGUCUAAUGCGCUCGACUGCUAAUCGAGAGUUCCGAAAGGGGCACAAGGGUUCGAAUCCCUUACCCACUGA